UAUAGGUAAUAAUAAUGCGCGAGGUUGC
This 28-nucleotide small RNA is filed under the name Bombyx mori (domestic silkworm). RNAcentral's name for it is "ovarian small RNA-23385". The record is from RNAcentral. Lineage: Eukaryota; Metazoa; Arthropoda; Insecta; Lepidoptera; Bombycidae.